Molecule: ribosomal RNA, 406 nt
Filed under: uncultured bacterium
Lineage: Bacteria
Description: partial 16S ribosomal RNA
Rfam family: Bacterial small subunit ribosomal RNA
Source: RNAcentral
AUUGAACGCUGGCGGCAGGCCUAACACAUGCAAGUCGAACGAGUGGCGGACGGGUGAGUACUGUCUGGGAAACUGCCUGAUGGAGGGGGAUAACUACUGGAAACGGUAGCUAAUACCGCAUACCAUCGGAUGUGCCCAGAUGGGAUUAGCUAGUAGGUGGGGUAAAGGCUCACUUAGGAGAAGAUCCCUAGCUGGUGGUAGAGGAUGACCAGCCACACUGGAACGGUGACACGGUCCAGACUCCUACGGGUGGCAGCAGUGGGUAAUAUUGCACAAUGGGCGCAAGCCUGAUGAAUCCAUGCCGCGUGUAUGAAGAAGGCCUUCGGGUUGUAAAGUACUUUCAGCGGGGAGGCGUUACCCGCAGAAGAAGCACCGGCUAACUCCGUGCCAGCAGCCGCGGUAAUUC